GGCACACAACUUACCAUUCCAGAGGUGUCCUCUCAUACCACACAGACUAGGGUCUCCGAGACCUCUACCCCCACUUGCUUCCUCCUGACUUUGAGGAUCUACUCUGCUGCAGGAACUCACUUAGUGCCUGCCUGGUGGAGCUCAGUUCA
Cygnus olor (mute swan) is the source of this 149-nucleotide long non-coding RNA. RefSeq lists it as uncharacterized. The transcript is spliced from 3 exons. The record is from RefSeq and is a predicted model, not a curated record. Lineage: Eukaryota; Metazoa; Chordata; Aves; Anseriformes; Anatidae.